CAGUCGCCGCGGUAAUACGUAGGGUGCAAGCGUUAAUCGGAAUUACUGGGCGUAAAGCGUGCGCAGGCGGUUCGUUAAGACAGAUGUGAAAUCCCCGGGCUUAACCUGGGAACUGCAUUUGUGACUGGCGAGCUAGAGUAUGGCAGAGGGGGGUAGAAUUCCACGUGUAGCAGUGAAAUGCGUAGAUAUGCGGAGGAACACCGAUGGCGAAGGCAGCCCCCUGGGCCAACACUGACGCUCAUGCACGAAAGCGUGGGGAGCAAACAGGAUUAGAGACCCCGUGUAGUCCCUGUCUCUUAUA
RNAcentral lists this ribosomal RNA (301 nucleotides) under uncultured bacterium. RNAcentral describes it as "partial 16S ribosomal RNA". It matches the Rfam family "Bacterial small subunit ribosomal RNA", at positions 509 to 808 of the family's 1533-position model. The record is from RNAcentral.